Molecule: ribosomal RNA, 479 nt
Filed under: uncultured bacterium
Lineage: Bacteria
Description: bacterial SSU rRNA
Rfam family: Bacterial small subunit ribosomal RNA
Source: RNAcentral
UCAGGACGAACGCUGGCGGCGUGCCUAACACAUGCAAGUCGAGCGAUGAAAUCCUUCGGGAUGGAUUAGCGGCGGACGGGUGAGUAACACGUGGGUAACCUGCCUUGUAGAGGGGGAUAGCCUUCCGAAAGGAAGAUUAAUACCGCAUAACAUCUUUUUAUCGCAUGGUAGAAAGAUCAAAGGAGUAAUCCGCUACAAGAUGGACCCGCGGCGCAUUAGCCAGUUGGUGAGGUAACGGCUCACCGAGGCGACGAUGCGUAGCCGACCUGAGAGGGUGAUCGGCCACAUUGGAACUGAGACACGGUCCAGACUCCUACGGGAGGCAGCAGUGGGGAAUAUUGCGCAAUGGGGGGAAAAACCCCUGACGCAGCAACGCCGCGUGAAUGAAGAAGGCCUUAGGGUUGUAAAGUUCUGUUUACGGGGACGAUAAUGACGGUACCCGUGGAGGAAGCCACGGCUAACUACGUGCCAGCCGCUGC